This 496-nucleotide ribosomal RNA is filed under the name uncultured bacterium. RNAcentral's name for it is "partial 16S ribosomal RNA". It matches the Rfam family "Bacterial small subunit ribosomal RNA", at positions 29 to 507 of the family's 1533-position model. The record is from RNAcentral.
UAUGAACGCUGGCGGCGUGCCUAAUACAUGCAAGUCGAGCGAACGGACGAGAAGCUUGCUUCUCUGAUGUUAGCGGCGGACGGGUGAGUAACACGUGGAAACCUACCUAUAAGACUGGGAUAACUUCGGGAAACCGGAGCUAAUACCGGAUAAUAUUUUGAACCGCAUGGUUCAAAAGUGAAAGACGGUCUUGCUGUCACUUAUAGAUGGAUCCGCGCUGCAUUAGCUAGUUGGUAAGGUAACGGCUUACCAAGGCAACGAUGCAUAGCCGACCUGAGAGGGUGAUCGGCCACACUGUAACUGAGACACGGUCCAGACUCCUACGGGAGGCAGCAGUAGGGAAUCUUCCGCAAUGGGCGAAAGCCUGACGGAGCAACGCCGCGUGAGUGAUGAAGGUCUUCGGAUCGUAAAACUCUGUUAUUCGGGAAGAACAUAUGUGUAAGUAACUGUGCACAUCUUGACGGUACCUAAUCAGAAAGCCACGGCUAACUACGUG